GAUGAACGCUGGCGGCGUGCCUAAUACAUGCAAGUCGAGCGAACGGACGAGAAGCUUGCUUCUCUGAUGUUAGCGGCGGACGGGUGAGUAACACGUGGAUAACCUACCUAUAAGACUGGGAUAACUUCGGGAAACCGGAGCUAAUACCGGAUAAUAUUUUGAACCGCAUGGUUCAAAAGUGAAAGACGGUCUUGCUGUCACUUCUAGGUGGAUCCGGGCUGCAUUAGCUAGUUGGUAAGGUAACGGCUUACCAAGGCAACGAUGCAUAGCCGACCUGAGAGGGUGAUCGGCCACACUGGAACUGAGACACGGUCCAGACUCCUACGGGAGGCAGCAGUAGGGAAUCUUCCGCAAUGGGCGAAAGCCUGACGGAGCAACGCCGAGUGAGUGAUGAAGGUCUUCGGAUCGUAAAACUCUGUUAUUAGGGAAGAACAUAUGUGUAAGUAACUGUGCACAUCUUGACGGUACCUAAUCAGAAAGCCACGGCUAACUACGUG
This 497-nucleotide ribosomal RNA is filed under the name uncultured bacterium. Its description in RNAcentral is "partial 16S ribosomal RNA". It matches the Rfam family "Bacterial small subunit ribosomal RNA", at positions 28 to 507 of the family's 1533-position model. The record is from RNAcentral.